GCCACAUGAUGAUGCAAUGGCAACGGUGAGCUCUCAUUGGCUGGGGUGUGUGUUCUCUGGCAAGCUGACCCCUCUGAUGACCCUGGCUGGUAAUCUUGGCUGACGGGGCGCAGUCUUGCUCCUCAGCUGUAAGGGCGAGCCGACAGGAACUUGCACCCCUUUUCCCAAACUCACAGGGGUCCAGAGGAGUGGACCUUCUGACUGGAGGGAGGUGCGAACACGAGGGCCGAGAGAGGGGGCAAGGAGGGCACUGCCAGAGAGCAGCACCUCCCCAUGUUGAACCUCCAAUGAGGCAUGAGCACUAAUCUUUGGUAAUCUGAUGGCA
This is a small nucleolar RNA of Polyodon spathula (Mississippi paddlefish), 325 nucleotides long. NCBI's taxonomy places the organism in Eukaryota, Metazoa, Chordata, Actinopteri, Acipenseriformes, Polyodontidae. The record is from RefSeq and is a predicted model, not a curated record.